GCCUAGUUAGCUUAGUUGGUAGUGCGUCUGCCUUGUAAGCGCUAGGCCGCGGGUUCGAUUCCCGCCCCGGGCC
RNAcentral lists this transfer RNA (73 nucleotides) under Diaphorina citri (Asian citrus psyllid). It matches the Rfam family "tRNA". From Rfam's summary of the family: Transfer RNA (tRNA) molecules are approximately 80 nucleotides in length. Their secondary structure includes four short double-helical elements and three loops (D, anti-codon, and T loops). The record is from Rfam by way of RNAcentral. Lineage: Eukaryota; Metazoa; Arthropoda; Insecta; Hemiptera; Psyllidae.